This 442-nucleotide ribosomal RNA is filed under the name uncultured bacterium. RNAcentral describes it as "bacterial SSU rRNA". It matches the Rfam family "Bacterial small subunit ribosomal RNA", at positions 30 to 477 of the family's 1533-position model. The record is from RNAcentral.
AUUGAACGCUGGCGGCAUGCCUUACACAUGCAAGUCGAACGGCAGCACGGGAGCUUGCUCCUGGUGGCGAGUGGCGAACGGGUGAGUAAUGCAUCGGAACGUGCCCUGAAGUGGGGGAUAACGUAGCGAAAGUUACGCUAAUACCGCAUAUUCUGUGAGCAGGAAAGCAGGGGAUCUUCGGACCUUGCGCUUUUGGAGCGGCCGAUGUCGGAUUAGCUAGUUGGUGGGGUAAAGGCCCACCAAGGCGACGAUCCGUAGCGGGUCUGAGAGGAUGAUCCGCCACACUGGAACUGAGACACGGUCCAGACUCCUACGGGAGGCAGCAGUGGGGAAUUUUGGACAAUGGGCGCAAGCCUGAUCCAGCCAUGCCGCGUGAGUGAAGAAGGCCUCGGUUGUAAGCUCUUCGUGGAGAAUGCUGGUAUACCUCGAGUAGAUGACGGUA